ACUCGCGGACGAUCUCUGCUCGCCUUGGGCGCGCCGUGGCGCGCGGGGCCGUGCUGGCGCUGCGGCUCCUCGGCCUGCUCCGCCGUCUGGUGGCCGCCCCGGGCUGACUUUGACUUAGCGAUGCCUUUCCUGAUGGAGGAAACAGUGACCCAGCACCACCUAAUGCCCCCAAACCAAAGCCAGAUCCAAACCCCAACCGACCUGGUUUCACUGGGGCUGACUUUGACUUAGCAGAUGCCUUUCGUGAUGGAGGAAAUAACGACCCAGCACCUCUUAAUUCACCCAAGCUGAAGCCAAAUGCGAACCCUGAGCAGCCUGGAUUCAUUGGGGAUGACUUUGACUUAGCAGAUGCCUUACAUGACAAAGGAAACUACGAGCCAGCACCACUGAACCCACCCAAACCAAAGCCAAAUCCAAACCCCAAGCAGCCUGAUUCCACCGGGGAUGACUUUGAUUUCACAGAUGUUUCUUCAUGGUGAACGAAACAGCACCCUGGGACCAUCCUGGCUGGAAGGCAUAGUGACAUUGCUGGCCUGAGCUGAAGUGCCGAUUAAAAUAAAUUGAAAGCUGAAUUACCUUAUGAACAGCUGCUUUACCCAGGAACAAAUGUGGAGAGGAACUCCUUGAAACUGUGUUCUCAAGUAGACCACUUUUGAGAAAUUAUACAUUUAUCAUAACAUCUCAAGUCCUGCUCUACAUAGAAUGACCAUUAUUAUCAAGAAAAGUUCUCCAUUCCCUGUAAUUCAUAAGGCAAUGCAGGCCUAACCAGAAAACAGGAACUGCGACAACCUUGCAUCAGACACAUUCGAUCUCUCUAUUCAUAGUUGCAUUCUCUUUUUUUUUGUUUACAAAGCCAAUCACCAAUAACUCGGAAAACAAAAACAAAAAAAAAAAAAUGAACACAUUGUU
Homo sapiens (human) is the source of this 909-nucleotide long non-coding RNA. Ensembl annotates it as CD99 molecule pseudogene 1. Its record names the gene CD99P1. The record is from Ensembl. Lineage: Eukaryota; Metazoa; Chordata; Mammalia; Primates; Hominidae.